UCAAAACCGACUGUGGGCGUUGGGAAAGCAGUCUUUUCUUAGGAAUCAUGCUGACCUCAAAUUCUUGAUAACCGGAAAAUCCGACGUGGCCAAAAGGGCACCUCUUCCCCUAGCGAGAUUCAGCAGCCUAGAUGCUUACAAACACAAAUCCCAACUUCUAACAACAAACAAUACACUAGCUUGUUCUCUGUUUUUUCUGCUUCUAUGGCUUCCUCCUUUCUGUUCCCGACUAUGUCCUCUCCAAAACCCAGUUCCUCUUUCCUCUCACCGUGCAUAUCUCAACCUCCUUCCACCUGCCUACUGUUCAAAGGCCAUUCUUUCAUCAUCAGGAGUCCUGCUCAAAAAAACCCAACAAGGCUAAAAGCCAUUUUUGGAGAUCUCUCGCAUAAUUUAGCCACUGCUUUUAGCUCUUCAGGAUUGGAAGAAUAUGGGUUUGUGCUUCCAUUGGUUAAAUACGGUCUAUCUCUUGUUCAGAGCAUUGAGGAUUUGCCAGAGAGGCAGAGGAUUUGGGUCCUGUCUUUUAUCGGUUUCAGUUGGAUUUACUUGAAUGCAAGACCUGGAGUGUUGAUCGGUGCAAUCGAUGCUUAUCUUUUGGCUCCCUUGCAACUAGGUCUUGAUAGUGUCUUAGGGAGGAGGAACCUGAAGAGGACGGAUUUUGUGCUAGGGGACAGGUUGGGCGAAGGAACGUUUGGGGUGGUUUAUUAUGGGGCAAUGGUGCCCAAGAAUUCUGGGUUGCAGGAGGAGGAAGCGGUGAGGAGGACGGGGAGGAGGGUCAGAAGCCCACAAAUGGAUGAAAGGUUUAAGAAUUCUCAGAAGGUCAUUCUUAAGAAGGUCAAGGUUGAAAUUGAAGGAGCCAAAGAAUGUGGUGACUUUGAGGAGUGGUUCAACUAUAGACUCUCAAGAGCUGCUCCAGAGACUUGUGCUGAAUUCCUCGGGAGUUUCGUGGCUGAUAAAACAGUUUCACAAUUUACCAAAGGUGGCAAAUGGCUUGUUUGGAAAUUUGAGGGGGAUCUGACUCUGGCUGACUACAUGAGAGACCGCAAUUUCCCAAUGAACUUGGAAUCCAUAAUGUUUGGACGUGUUUUAAAGGGAAUGGAUACUACCCAAAGGAAUGCAUUGAUCAUCAAACAGAUAAUGCGUCAAAUUAUCACUUCUCUCAGGAAGAUUCAUGAUACAGGCAUUGUUCAUCGAGAUGUAAAGCCAGCAAACUUGGUGGUCACCAGAAAAGGGCAGAUAAAGCUUAUUGAUUUUGGGGCUGCAACUGAUUUACGAAUUGGCAAGAACUAUGUACCAGAUCGGGGACUGCUUGAUCCAGACUAUUGUCCCCCAGAGCUGUUUGUGCUUCCAGAAGAGACACCAAGUCCUCCCCCGGCACCCAUUGCAGCUCUUUUUUCUCCAAUUCUGUGGCAGCUAAACAGUCCCGAUCUGUUUGAUAUGUAUUCUGCUGGAGUGAUACUUCUGCAGAUGGCUAUUCCUACGCUGAGGUCAUCAGCAGGUAUAAAAAAUUUUAAAUCCGAAAUAAAAAAUGCUGGAUAUGAUUUGAAGAAAUGGAGGGGAAACACUCGACUGAGGCCGGACUUGAGUAUACUUGAACUUGAAUCCGGGAGAGGUUGGGACUUGGUCACAAAACUCAUUUCAGAAAGAGGGUCCUUUAGACGGGGCCGUUUAUCUGCUGCUGCCGCUCUCCGACAUCCUUAUUUUCUGCUUGGUGGUGACCGAGCAGCUGCUGCCUUUUCAAAGCUAAGCAUUGCUAGCCAGUGAAUUUUCUAAAUGCACCAAUCACAUCUGAGUUUCAUCCUUGAUUCAAGCUGCUCAAAUUGGUCUGCAAAACUCAUACAAUGUGGCACCAUUUUGUUAUAGAAAUGGUUGAAGUUAUUAUCAACUAAGAAGCACAAGCACCCUGCAUCUCAUUUCUUGGGGAUUAAGAAAAUGCGUGAAGAAGAAAAGCCAGAGCCAAAUGCAUGAGGAAAGAGUGUACCAGUAAAACUAAGAAACAGAGACAAGCCAACAAUUGAUUUAGAUUGGAAAAUUUUGUAGCUUGAGCAGCUUAGCCACUUGUAACAGAGUCACGGUUAGGCUUUGUCAAACAACACUCCACUUCAUGUUUCCGAGCAGAUGACAUUAGAAAUAUGAUUAUCUCUUAAAGUUGGCAGAUUCCAAAGCAGAUGUAUAUAUGAUAUGCAAAUGCAUGUUAAACAUGUAUCAUAGAAGUUGAAGUUAUUUUUU
Molecule: RNA transcript, 2226 nt
Organism: Nymphaea colorata (pocket water lily)
Lineage: Eukaryota; Viridiplantae; Streptophyta; Magnoliopsida; Nymphaeales; Nymphaeaceae
Gene name: serine/threonine-protein kinase STN8, chloroplastic-like
Exons: 6
Source: RefSeq, a predicted model, not a curated record